AUUUUAGAUGUGCAGCUGAAGCACAAGGGUUCUGAUACAGCCCUCAUCCAGGAAAAAUAUGCAGCUUAGAUUGGAUCAUCCAAAUGUGUCCUCGACUGGCUGUGUUAGCUAAAGCCCAUUGCAGCACUCACAGAAGGCCUCUGGAUGGGAAGGCACUUACAGGUUCAAUCACUGAAGUGAAAUUAACUUGACGUGAACCCAUCAUGAUGAAGUGGUCUUGCCAAGAAUGAAGCAUCAGAAUAACACAUGCUGGAGCCUUAUACAGUAUUGGAAUCCCAAGCCAUGUGGAGAACCCAGAAGAAUUUUGGACUUUUUUUCCUAACCUUGUCCUAGUUUGAAAUGAAGUUUCCAACUAUGAAUUUGUGAGCUGAAAGGAGUAAAGAAGCAUGAAUUUUUUCCUGCUACAUUUUUCUAUUACUUUUCUGUGAUCAACCUGUGAUUUUAUACACGUCCGGUUACACUGAAUAAGCAAUGGCAAAGAAAGAGUCUCUUCCCAUUCAUAGGUACAGCUUCCCAGAUUGUGACUAUAUCUCUGCUUGUAGUGCAUUGAAGGGG
This 555-nucleotide long non-coding RNA is filed under the name Cyanistes caeruleus (blue tit). Its description in RNAcentral is "lncRNA (ENSCCEG00000004486.1)". The record is from RNAcentral. Lineage: Eukaryota; Metazoa; Chordata; Aves; Passeriformes; Paridae.